AUGUAUAUUCUUUAUUUGUUUGUUAUAGUGGCUGAAUGUGUAUCUUUAUUAGUUGAUUUCACGGAUGGUGAAGUGUUAAUAGUUAUUUGUGUUUGGUGAAAGGAAUAGAUUUGGUUGGCAAGCUGAAGAAAGACUUGAAGGUUGCAAUGAGGAAAGUAUGUUCACAUCAGUUGUAAAGGGGAGUCAUCAAAACUUGCAAAUUGGAAACAAACUCGACAACGAUGGAUAAACAAGAACAUGUUGUAAGUGACGAUGAACACGUUACCCGGGCUAAGGCGAAGCGUUAUGCCUGGUCCGGAUUCGGUAGGGAUCUUUACGUUUUCACAGAGUUGUAGUGGAGUGGCUGCUAGAGCCUGCGGUCUUGUAAGUUUGGAGCCGACAAAGGUCUUGAAAUGUGAGUAUCUUCUUCGUAGUGAAAUUAUUUCUCUGGCUCAGGUAAUGAAUUGUUGCUGUUAAAAACCAUAUUUAGACAAGUAUAAUUAGAGACUAAUAUCUUGGCUGAAAAGUUGCUAUGUUGAGUUGAAUGAUCACUACAGCAAGAUUUGCAAGCAAAUCCAAGUUCUCAUCAUGGGUAACUUUGUAUAAUCUCUCUUUUCCUUCUGCUUGAUAGGCUUAAGUUCUGCUUAACUGUUAAAACUACAUAUAUAAUUCAGAAGUGGCCUGGUUUGACUCUUACAUGCCCAUGCCAUUUAGCCUUUUUUACUUAUUUGUUCAUUCAUGUUUUUAGAAGUUAGUUUUUUUCUUAUAGCUGGUUGCUUCAAUGAAUUGGCCCCAAGUUACCAAAUACAAAAUUUUGGUAUCUGCACAACCACAUAGGAAGGAAGGAGAUUAUUUAAGACCUGUUCACCAAAAGGGGUGAAACUCAUGUAGACUUGAUUAGGUAAGGUUUAAUUGAUUUCGUUAAGAGAGUUAGUUGGACCUCAGUUGGGUUUGAUAUUUUUUAGGAGGUCACCUGGACAUAAACCUCAGCGAAUUAUUUGUUAUAGGUUUGGCAACUUAUUUCUUUUUUUAAUAACCCUUUAACUUAUUAGUUAAUGAUUGAUACUUCUAUUUAAUUUACAGAGACAGAAUAACUGAGGGACAAUUCAAUGAGGUUUUACUAAAUGAGAUGGACAACGUUCGUAAGGUUUCAUGAAAUUAAUGAAUCAUCGAUUGUGUUACAUGAGCUAUUUAUACUUUUGGCUCUUAGUACCAAUUCUACCGAUCUACCAACCCCUGCUUCUCGAUGGGCGUCAAAGUAGAUUUCGGCAAAUCGGUGGCUAGAUCCGUUCCUAUCCCAACUAAUAAGAUCGUAGUGUAAGUACCUACUUUUCCAAGCAUGUUUUACUAGCUGUCAAAAGGGAGUAAAGGCUACUUUAUCAAGUAGAAUCACUAAGGUUUACUUAUAUUAUUGUCAUUGGUAACAGUAACUAUACAUACAACUUUUGUCUCAUUCUGUUAUACUUCAUAAUAUGUUGGAGUGGGUCAAAAUUUAUGAAACGGGGGUUAAAGUGCACAGGUCCGGAGUUUAAAGGGAUCGAGUUCGAUUGAUUCACUCUGACAUAGGGACAGCUACACAGUUGGACAUAGUUGUAACAUUUGAGGAGGAUCAAGAGAUGCGCUGAACGCAAUAAGUGAAACCAAUGAUAAAUAUGAUUGCACUGCGAGCUUAGGUGCAGCCGAAGGGAAGUUUGGGACCAUUUGGUUUCACGGUUUUAGUUGAUGGCAUCCUUUCGGAGUUAACUCCGUUACCAACUUCUUCAGAUUCAAACUGUAAAUCUUCUCAUAUUACUCUUAAAACACUGAAAAAUUGAUUGCACAUCAAAAGUUAAAGGUCAAAAACUAAUUGACACAAUUAAUUGUAAUAAAAAUCAGUUUUAAUCCGUAUUGGAGAUAUUUAAAUGUUUCAUCGUGAUAUUUAAAUGUUUCAUCGUGGGGUAAUGUGUUUGGAUAAUGUUUUUGAGACUGAGUUUUAGUGGUUUGAAAUGAAGAAAAGGAAAAGUUAGAUGGUUGAAUUUUUCCAAAUAGGAGAUGGAAAAGAGGAAAAGGAGAAGCAAACCGAAACAAGUAAUAUACAUUAUCUUUGUUUGUUACGUUAGAGUAACGGGUAUUAAACUAGUUGAUAUAGUUCUAAUCAUGCA
This is a long non-coding RNA of Helianthus annuus (common sunflower), 2120 nucleotides long. RefSeq lists it as uncharacterized. The transcript is spliced from 6 exons. NCBI's taxonomy places the organism in Eukaryota, Viridiplantae, Streptophyta, Magnoliopsida, Asterales, Asteraceae. The record is from RefSeq and is a predicted model, not a curated record.